UACAGAGGUCCCAAGCGUUGUUCGGAUUCACUGGGCGUAAAGGGUGCGUAGGUGGCAAGGUAAGUUCGAUGUGAAAUCCCCGGGCUUAACUCGGGAACGGCAUUGAAUACUCUCUUGCUAGAGGAUCGGAGGGGGGACUGGAAUUCUCGGUGUAGCAGUGAAAUGCGUAGAUAUCGAGAGGAACACCAGUGGCGAAGGCGAGUCCCUGGACGAUUCCUGACACUGAGGCACGAAAGCUAGGGGAGCAAACAGG
Molecule: ribosomal RNA, 253 nt
Filed under: uncultured bacterium
Lineage: Bacteria
Description: partial 16S ribosomal RNA
Rfam family: Bacterial small subunit ribosomal RNA
Source: RNAcentral